RNAcentral lists this ribosomal RNA (266 nucleotides) under uncultured bacterium. Its description in RNAcentral is "partial 16S ribosomal RNA". It matches the Rfam family "Bacterial small subunit ribosomal RNA", at positions 92 to 354 of the family's 1533-position model. The record is from RNAcentral.
CGACCGGCGCACGGGUGAGUAACGCGUAUGCAACCUGCCCGUUUCAGCGGGAUAACCCGGAGAAAUCCGGCCUAAUACCGCAUGUGGCCGAGGGGAGGCAUCUUCUUUCGGCCAAAGGAGGCAACUCCGGAGACGGAUGGGCAUGCGUGACAUUAGCUUGUUGGCGGGGUAACGGCCCACCAAGGCGACGAUGUCUAGGGGUUCUGAGAGGAAGGUCCCCCACACUGGUACUGAGACACGGACCAGACUCCUACGGAAGGCAGCAG